UGUAACCAUUCAUUGCCAGAGUUAAACAGCACAUGUGUUUGAAAAAAAUCUGAAAUGGAUCAAAUUGAAAAUCUUUUGGAAUGUAUUACAAAUACAAAUCGAAAAACUCAAAAUAUUUAUCUCAACAUGCUUGACGAAAAUCAUAUCAAACCAAACAAGAGAGUUGUUGUGUCUCAACUAAUUACUAAAUUGCUUACGAAAAGAAAAACUCGUCCCCUUGGAUACCGGCUCCUUCUAUGUUACCUCAAUCAAUACUCCCUAGAAGGAUCGGAAAAAUCUGCAAAUGUGUGGUUUACAAUUAUAUUGAAAUCCUUAAACGUAUCUGAGAUUCGUUUAUACGGGGAAAUCAUAUUUGAAGCAUUGGCGCUACUCAUACAAAAUAUCCAAUGCGAUUUUAACUUGUCAAAAGCAUUUGGGUCCGUUUAUGUCCUUAAAGUUGUCGAAAAGUUUUCCCUAAAAGAAAUACUUGAAGACGAAUGCUGCACCCUAUCUGCCCUUCACACUGUCGAGCAAUGCUUAAAAUAUUAUCCAAGGAGUAUUAAGUCUGGAAAAUCCGGAAUCGAAAAUUUCUUGAUGAAUUUAUUAGACAGCAAUAAUGUCGAUAUUGUCUUUCAAACCGGUGAAUGUUGGCUCUUGUUACAAAAAGUACGCGGCUCUCUCAGUAUUGGAGCUAAAAAUGAUGAAAACCAAUGGCGAGAUUACCAAUUGACAUUAUUGGGGAGUCUUUAUUCAAUUAUAAACAAGUCUUUUCCCAUAUCUGAGGAAAUAUUUGUGGGCACAAUUGUGUCAAAUCACUUAUCACAUUUUGAAGUGCAUUUGACAGAAGAUCCGGUUAAACGAGCCGCACAAGUCUGUCAGCGGUUUUGCAAUCUUAUCGAUUUCUUAAAGAUUGCCUUGAGCAAACCGUACCCUGACAAGAAGUUAAUUUUUACACAACAAAUUUUGUGUUUUAUACAACGUGGAAUAUCUUUAAAAAUAAAUAAUAAAAGUAAUCCAAAAAUGGAUUAUGUAUGUUUUAAAGCUUUGUUACCGCAAAUGCAAAUAAAGUUGUUGGAGCUUCUGGAAGUUUUGAUUGACAUAUGUCACACUCAUCUCAGGAUGCAUUUUCGCACUAUAUUGAGCAUUUUACUGGAAUCACUUGAAAAUACCAAAUUGAUUUCAAAGGAAGGAAACAGGCUACAAUAUGUUAAAUUUCGAUUUGUGGUUUACAAAACCAUAUCAAUAUGGUGCUCGAACUUAAAAGAAGGAAGUCAUUGCGAAAUAAUCUCGGAGACCCUUAUAAACGAACUAUUAGAUGAUGUUACGCAGCGACAGUUAAUUCUAUCAAAAGAGUCAAUAGAGGGGAAAAAAAAAUACCGGAGACACAAUUUUUCACGUUUAAUUGCCUUUCAUUAAGUGAAAAUGAGAAAUUAUUUCAUAAGGAAGCUUUUUCUUGCCUUCACUUAAUUUUAACAUCGUCUGGUCAUUUAUUACGCAACUCUGUUUUGAAGAAGGUACACAACGCUCUAUUGGAACUAUGUAUUGAAAUGAAUGCAGAACCUAUGAAAUCGGAAUAUUUAACAAAACUCUGGAAUUGUCGCUUGGAAAUUUAUAAAAUAUUAAUAUUUUUAUUGAAGUCGAGAAAUUACAGCUGUCCUGUAUCAUCUGAAAUGUUAUUGUGCAUUUUGGAUGAAUCCCGUUUAAUUGAAAAUAAUCUUGAAAUACGCCUAAAUUCUCAAGCAUUAUUUGAAGUCCUGGAAUCAUCGCUCCAUCCCCACAAGGAAGAUCUAGGCUUUAGACAAGAUUCAAAAAGUAUGCUGUGCAGUCAAGGAAGUCCGGAACUAAUGGACUUAACUAUAAAUAAAAGUACAAAUCAUAUUUCACCGGUAGAUUGUAAAGUCCCUCUGAACUAUAAUAAUGACCGAAAUGAAAAUGCCAAAUCCGUUCAUCAAAACGAACUUGAGUCGAACUCACAAACUCUUACCCACCAAAUCAUCAAUGAGCAAGACAGCACAGAGCACCCUAGUUCAAAUAACCUGAAAGAUAUUAAAGUAAAUAAAUCUAAUAGCCAGGAGGGAAAAA
Molecule: RNA transcript, 2061 nt
Organism: Drosophila subobscura
Lineage: Eukaryota; Metazoa; Arthropoda; Insecta; Diptera; Drosophilidae
Exons: 8
Source: RefSeq, a predicted model, not a curated record